GCCGGGCGUGGUGGCGGGCGCCUGUAAUCCUAGCUACUCGGGAGGCUGAGGCAGGAGAAUCGCUUGAACCUGGGAGACAGAGGUUGCUGUGAGCCAAGAUCGCGCCAUUGCACUCCAGCCUGGGUGACAGAGCGAGAUUCCAUCUCAAAAAAAAAAAACCAUCUUCCACUCACACACCCAAAUGUUCUUUUUAUGAAACAAGGUUCACUCUGUCACCCAGGCUGGAGUGCAGUGGUGUGAUCUUGGCUCACUACAGCCUCUGCCUCCCGGGUUCAAGCGAUUCUCGUAC
Molecule: long non-coding RNA, 289 nt
Filed under: Homo sapiens (human)
Lineage: Eukaryota; Metazoa; Chordata; Mammalia; Primates; Hominidae
Description: non-protein coding lnc-XIAP-7:1
Source: RNAcentral